Aegilops tauschii subsp. strangulata is the source of this 1647-nucleotide non-coding RNA. The record is from RefSeq and is a predicted model, not a curated record. Lineage: Eukaryota; Viridiplantae; Streptophyta; Magnoliopsida; Poales; Poaceae.
UCUCUCUCCCGCAGGUGUGACUCAGAUCUGCAGCCAAUGAUUGAUCCCGCCCGUGCACCAGACCCGACACGUUGGUUCCUCCUUCUUGGCCCGCAGAAGUGGAAUCGAAUGCUCCUCCCGUCGAAGCGUCCUUUCUUUAUUGAGGGAACCAGUCAAAACGUCUUUGAUGCGAGUGUGAGGCCGCCCCGUCUCCCGUCCCCCAUAAAUCUCUCCCCAGACGAUACAGACCACGCCGCGACGUACGCAACAGAACACAACCGCUUCUAGGGUUUGCGACCGUCGGUGUGUAGGACUGGUGGCUACGAUGACGAUGGCAGGGCAAGGGCGACCUCAAGAUGAUUGAUCUGGAGGGAAUGGAUGGAGCUUCAUCAUGCAGAAGGGUAUCAACAUCUUCGAGGGCAAGUCGGAGCCACGGUUCUGCUCCGAAGAAAGCAUGAUCGAUCUGGGGGAAUGGAUGAUGCUCUGCAUACCAAAGAAUGAUAUCAAGAAGCUGGAAAUGUGAAACUGCAUUCUGGAUGCUUUUGGACGAGUCCUGGAUCCAGCCCUGUCUUCAUCAAGCUCUAACUCUGCAGAUAGGGAGGAAGCCGUCUAGGCUGCUUGGUUCUAGGUGAUAAGCUUAUGAGCGGGGACAAGUGAUGAUCUGGUGGACCUGCUUAUGGCACUUCUCCUUAUCUACCUUGACAACUCAUCUGGUCGUCGGUGUCCCAUCUCCUGAGAUGUGCGGGUGUUGAGCCCAGCGACAUGGAUGUAGUCUGAUUUGAGGAUGGCUGUUUUUACUUUUUCUUUAGUAAUUCUGAUGCUGUCUAAAUGAUCAUCCUCUAUUUCAGGUUGAAGGUCUUCAUUGUUGCAUAUUCAAAGUUACAUUGGACACGUAUAAUACAUAGUUCCUGAUGUAAUAAAAUUUUCGUCUGACUUUUCAUCUGUGCUAUUCAGCUAUCCAUUAGUUUCCAUCACAAUAAUGGUGUUUUGUUGUUGAGACAAGCAGGUUAGUGAUUGUUGGCUUUGCUGAAUUGGUAGAUUUUAGUUCAGUUAAAAACUGCCGAACUACUGAAUUGGUGACCUUUCUCUAUAACUCUUUCUUUGUGCGUGGCUUCUUCGUUUCAAUUUCUUUGUAUAAACACCACUGUUACAAUUUGAUGAAAGCAACACUUUUGUAUGUACAUCCUUUAAUAGAUAUGUUUUCCCAAGAAAAGGCGAGAUGUUUUAAUUCACUGGUAAGUUACUAUUUUCUUUAAACGGUUUAUUUCUCCUCAUUAGAACUUUUAGCAAAAAAUAUUCCGCAGCAACGCGCGGGGAAUCAUCUAGUUUAGGAUAAUAAUUGGAGAGGUAUUUUAUAGCUUUGAGGAUAAUGGAUUGCAUUGAGAGAACAUUGUCAAACAUGAAUAAUUCAAUGCAUCCAGAGUGAAUUAUGAUAAAAUAUCUCAUGCAAAACAGAUUCUCGAGAGAUAAAUAUAGCAUGGGUUUAUUAACGUUACAACACCAAGAUUCACAAGCAUUUCAGAGUGAAAUCUCAUGAUAUUCCACCUGCCAAACAGAUAUACCAACGAUAACAUUGUAGCGGGGGUGUUAUUAUCGUUAAUUUUGGAAUUCCCUAGAGGCAAUAAUAUUGUAUUAUUAUAUUUCCCUAUUCACAAUUAAGAGUUUAUA